UGAGCUCAGAUUGAACGCUGGCGGCACCUUUACACAUGCAAGUCGAGCGGCAGCGCGGGGGUGCUUGCACCUGGCGGCGAGCGGCGGACGGGUGAGUAAUGCAUGGGAAUAUGCCCGACAGAGGGGGAUAACUUUGGGAAACCAAAGCUAAUACCGCAUACGCUCUACGGAGGAAAGCGGGGGAUCUUCGGACCUCGCACUGACGGAGUAGCCCAUGUCCGAUUAGCUUGUUGGGGUGGUAACGGCACACCAAGGCGAUGAUCGGUAGCUGGUCUGAGAGGAUGAUCAGCCACACCGGGACUGAGACACGGCCCGGACUCCUACGGGAGGCAGCAGUGGGGAAUAUUGGACAAUGGGGGCAACCCUGAUCCAGCGAUGCCGCGUGAGUGAAGAAGGCCUUCGGGUUGUAAAGCUCUUUCGCAGGGGAAGAAACGGCGAUGGUGAAUAAUCAUCGCUACUGACGGUACCCUGAUAAGAAGCACCGGCUAACUACGUGCCAGCAGCCGCGGUAAUACGUAGGGUGCAAGCGUUAAUCGGAAUUACUGGGCGUAAAGCGUGCGUAGGCGGCUAUGCAAGUCAGAUGUGAAAGCCCCGGGCUUAACCUGGGAACGGCGUUUGAAACUGCAUAGCUAGAGUUCGGCAGGGGAAGAUGGAAUUCCAUGUGUAGCGGUGAAAUGCGUAGAUAUAUGGAAGAACACUAAUGGCGAAGGCACUCUUCUGGGCCGACACUGACGCUGAGUCACUAAAGCGUGGGGAGCAAACAGGAUUAGAUACCCUGG
This 779-nucleotide ribosomal RNA is filed under the name uncultured bacterium. RNAcentral's name for it is "bacterial SSU rRNA". It matches the Rfam family "Bacterial small subunit ribosomal RNA", at positions 19 to 790 of the family's 1533-position model. The record is from RNAcentral.